GUGCCAGCAGCCGCGGUAAAACGUAGGAGACAAACGUUAUCCGGAGUUACUGGGCGUAAAGGGCGUGCAGGCGGUUUCUUAAGUUCGUCGUGAAAUCGCCCGGCUUAACCGGGCGGGGUCGAUGGAUACUGGGAGACUUGAGGGCGGUAGAGGCGUGUGGAAUUCCGGGUGUAGUGGUGAAAUGCGUAGAUAUCCGGAGGAACACCAGUGGCGAAGGCGACACGCUGGGCCGUACCUGACGCUAAGACGCGACAGCAUGGGGAGCGAACGGGAUUAGAUACCCGGGUAGUCC
This 292-nucleotide ribosomal RNA is filed under the name uncultured bacterium. RNAcentral describes it as "partial 16S ribosomal RNA". It matches the Rfam family "Bacterial small subunit ribosomal RNA", at positions 505 to 796 of the family's 1533-position model. The record is from RNAcentral.